AUACGGAGGGGGUUAGCGUUGUUCGGAAUUACUGGGCGUAAAGCGCACGUAGGCGGACUGGAAAGUUGGGGGUGAAAUCCCGGGGCUCAACCCCGGAACUGCCUCCAAAACUUCCAAUCUAGAGAUCGAGAGAGGUGAGUGGAAUUCCAAGUGUAGAGGUGAAAUUCGUAGAUAUUUGGAGGAACACCAGUGGCGAAGGCGGCUCACUGGCUCGAUACUGACGCUGCGGUGCGAAAGCGUGGGGAGCAAACAGGAUUAGAUACCCCGGUAGUCC
Molecule: ribosomal RNA, 274 nt
Filed under: uncultured bacterium
Lineage: Bacteria
Description: partial 16S ribosomal RNA
Rfam family: Bacterial small subunit ribosomal RNA
Source: RNAcentral